Bacillus sp. FJAT-21945 is the source of this 117-nucleotide non-coding RNA. NCBI's taxonomy places the organism in Bacteria, Bacillati, Bacillota, Bacilli, Caryophanales, Bacillaceae. The record is from Rfam.
UCUAGUGACGAUGGCGAGAAGGCCACACCCGUUCCCAUCCCGAACACGGAAGUUAAGCUUCUCAGCGCCAAUGGUAGUUAGGGGCUGUCCCCUUGUGAGAGUAGGACGUCGCUAGGC